CAAUAGCGUAUAUUAAAGUUGUUGCAGUUAAAAAGCUCGUAGUUGGAUUUCUGGUCGGAAGCUCCUGUCCUCUGAUGAGCGUACAAGUGCGUCCUACCAUCCUUCUGUUAACCUUUAAGGCUUUCGCGGCUUUCUAGGGGCUCAGAUAUUUUACCUUGAGAAAAUUAGAGUGUUUCAGGCAGGCUAGCGCCGGAAUACAUUAGCAUGGAAUAAUGGAAUAGGACUUCUGCCUCUUCUGUUGGUCAUGAGGCUCGAGUAAUGAUUAAUAGGGAUAGUUGGGGGCAUUAGUACUUAACUGUCAGAGGUGAAAUUCUCGGAUUUGUUAAAGACUAACUUAUGCGAAAGCAUUUGCCAAGGAUGUUUUCAUUAA
This 370-nucleotide ribosomal RNA is filed under the name uncultured eukaryote. Its description in RNAcentral is "partial 18S ribosomal RNA". It matches the Rfam family "Eukaryotic small subunit ribosomal RNA", at positions 592 to 976 of the family's 1831-position model. The record is from RNAcentral.